AGAGUUUGAUCCUGGCUCAGGACGAACGCUGGCGGCGUGCUUAACACAUGCAAGUCGAACGGGGUGUGCCGGGUAGUAAUACCUUGUACAUCUAGUGGCGAACGGGUGCGUAACACGUGAGUAACCUACCCCGAAGUCUGGAAUAACACCGGGAAACCGAUGCUAAUACCAGAUGCCCUCCUCUGAUCGCAUGAUCGGUUGAGGAAAGUUUUUCGCUUCGGGAGGGGCUCGCGGCCUAUCAGCUUGUUGGUGAGGUAACGGCUCACCAAGGCUUCGACGGGUAGCUGGUCUGAGAGGACGAUCAGCCACACUGGGACUGAGACACGGCCCAGACUCCUACGGGAGGCGAC
Molecule: ribosomal RNA, 350 nt
Filed under: uncultured prokaryote
Description: bacterial SSU rRNA
Rfam family: Bacterial small subunit ribosomal RNA
Source: RNAcentral